RNAcentral lists this transfer RNA (77 nucleotides) under Pyrococcus kukulkanii. Its description in RNAcentral is "tRNA-Arg". It matches the Rfam family "tRNA". Rfam says of the family: Transfer RNA (tRNA) molecules are approximately 80 nucleotides in length. Their secondary structure includes four short double-helical elements and three loops (D, anti-codon, and T loops). Lineage: Archaea; Methanobacteriati; Methanobacteriota; Thermococci; Thermococcales; Thermococcaceae. The record is from RNAcentral.
GGGCCCGUGGCCUAGCAGGAUAGGGCGCCGGCCUUCGGAGCCGGAGAUCCCGGGUUCAAAUCCCGGCGGGCCCGCCA